UGGGGAAUUUUGGACAAUGGGCGCAAGCCUGAUCCAGCAAUGCCGCGUGCAGGAUGAAGGCCUUCGGGUUGUAAACUGCUUUUGUACGGAACGAAAAAGCUCUCUCUAAUACAGGGGGUGAAUGACGGUACCGUAAGAAUAAGCACCGGCUAACUACGUGCCAGCAGCCGCGGUAAUACGUAGGGUGCAAGCGUUAAUCGGAAUUACUGGGCGUAAAGCGUGCGCAGGCGGUUUUGUAAGACAGAGGUGAAAUCCCCGGGCUCAACCUGGGAACUGCCUUUGUGACUGCAAAGCUGGAGUGCGGCAGAGGGGGAUGGAAUUCCGCGUGUAGCAGUGAAAUGCGUAGAUAUGCGGAGGAACACCGAUGGCGAAGGCAAUCCCCUGAGCCUGCACUGACGCUCAUGCACGAAAGCGUGGGGAGCAAACA
RNAcentral lists this ribosomal RNA (427 nucleotides) under uncultured bacterium. Its description in RNAcentral is "bacterial SSU rRNA". It matches the Rfam family "Bacterial small subunit ribosomal RNA", at positions 355 to 774 of the family's 1533-position model. The record is from RNAcentral.